GAUGAACGCUGGCGGCGUGCCUAAUACAUGCAAGUCGAGCGAACGGACGAGAAGCUUGCUUCUCUGAUGUUAGCGGCGGACGGGUGAGUAACACGUGGAUAACCUACCUAUAAGACUGGGAUAACUUCGGGAAACCGGAGCUAAUACCGGAUAAUAUUUUGAACCGCAUGGUUCAAAAGUGAAAGACGGUCUUGCUGUCACUUAUAGAUGGAUCCGCGCUGCAUUAGCUAGUUGGUAAGGUAACGGCUUACCAAGGCAACGAUGCAUAGCCGACCUGAGAGGGUGAUCGGCCACACGGGAACUGAGACACGGUCCAGAGUCCUACGGGAGGCAGCAGUAGGGAAUCUUCCGCAAUGGGCGAAAGCCUGACGGAGCAACGCCGCGUGAGUGAUGAAGGUCUUCGGAUCGUAAAACUCUGUUAUUAGGGAAGAACAUAUGUGUAAGUAACUGUGCACAUCUUGACGGUACCUAAUCAGAAAGCCACGGCUAACUACGUG
This 497-nucleotide ribosomal RNA is filed under the name uncultured bacterium. Its description in RNAcentral is "partial 16S ribosomal RNA". It matches the Rfam family "Bacterial small subunit ribosomal RNA", at positions 28 to 507 of the family's 1533-position model. The record is from RNAcentral.